RNAcentral lists this ribosomal RNA (588 nucleotides) under uncultured fungus. Its description in RNAcentral is "eukaryotic LSU rRNA". The stretch from base 205 to 358 matches the Rfam family "5.8S ribosomal RNA". The record is from RNAcentral. Lineage: Eukaryota; Fungi.
CACAAGCUUUCCGUAGGUGAACCUGCGGAGGGAUCAUUACACAAAUAUGAAGGCGGGCUGGAACCUCUCGGGGUUACAGCCUUGCUGAAUUAUUCACCCUUGUCUUUUGCGUACUUCUUGUUUCCUUGGUGGGUUCGCCCACCACUAGGACAAACAUAAACCUUUUGUAAUUGCAAUCAGCGUCAGUAACAAAUUAAUAAUUACAACUUUCAACAACGGAUCUCUUGGUUCUGGCAUCGAUGAAGAACGCAGCGAAAUGCGAUAAGUAGUGUGAAUUGCAGAAUUCAGUGAAUCAUCGAAUCUUUGAACGCACAUUGCGCCCUUUGGUAUUCCAAAGGGCAUGCCUGUUCGAGCGUCAUUUGUACCCUCAAGCUUUGCUUGGUGUUGGGCGUCUUGUCUCUAGCUUUGCUGGAGACUCGCCUUAAAGUAAUUGGCAGCCGGCCUACUGGUUUCGGAGCGCAGCACAAGUCGCACUCUCUAUCAGCAAAGGUCUAGCAUCCAUUAAGCCUUUUUUUCAACUUUUGACCUCGGAUCAGGUAGGGAUACCCGCUGAACUUAAGCAUAUCAAUAAGCGGAGGAGGAUCCGUG